GGAUUAGAUACCCUGGUAGUCCACGCCCUAAACGAUGUCAACUAGUUGUUGGGGAUUCAUUUCCUUAGUAACGUAGCUAACGCGUGAAGUUGACCGCCUGGGGAGUACGGUCGCAAGAUUAAAACUCAAAGGAAUUGACGGGGACCCGCACAAGCGGUGGAUGAUGUGGAUUAAUUCGAUGCAACGCGAAAAACCUUACCUACCCUUGACAUGCCACUAACGAAGCAGAGAUGCAUUAGGUGCUCGAAAGAGAAAGUGGACACAGGUGCUGCAUGGCUGUCGUCAGCUCGUGCCG
RNAcentral lists this ribosomal RNA (295 nucleotides) under uncultured bacterium. RNAcentral describes it as "partial 16S ribosomal RNA". It matches the Rfam family "Bacterial small subunit ribosomal RNA", at positions 775 to 1067 of the family's 1533-position model. The record is from RNAcentral.